Long non-coding RNA from Octodon degus (degu), 1177 nucleotides. RefSeq lists it as uncharacterized. NCBI's taxonomy places the organism in Eukaryota, Metazoa, Chordata, Mammalia, Rodentia, Octodontidae. The record is from RefSeq and is a predicted model, not a curated record. The transcript has 5 exons.
UACCUCUCCUUUGUGAGCUAUGGUGUAUUCUGACUUCUGGCGGCCUGGGAGUAAGGAAGGCAGGACCUUUUCACUACAGUGAGCAUGGAUGUUAACUGUGUUUGUGUGGCUACAGCAACGGCGGCGUGGCCAGAUAAAAAAGCUAGGACUUUUUUCUUUUUUUUCCUACAAAAGAUGUGUUUGGAGAGAGAGAGUGGCGGUCUGGUGUUGCAGAUUACGGUAGGGCUGCGUUGCGCAGAAUGUUGUGAGUUGAGCCUCAGGGACCGCACGUUUUUCGGCAGGGCUGUCGCCGCGGGAGUGUGGGCUUUCGGAAAGCAGCAUCCUGUUGCCGCGCCUCCACGAGGAGUCCGCCAACCUGAAAAGCUGGAUGUUGGCCUCAGUGCAGAAUAUUGGCGAUGAGAACAGCAUCCCACCGUGAAGUCGGGUAAUGUCCGUGUCUCCAGUUGAAGGAUGACGGGACAGUGAGUGUUGACUGCUCUGAUGAUCCCACUAAUCACAGGAAGUGCUGUCAGAAGCGAUACCUGACGAAAGUGCUCCUGGCUGACUGCAGUCACCGAGUGCACCAGAUGAUGUUGUUGCUCAGGAUUAAGUUGGUCUGAACUGCGACAACCUUUCUACAUUCAUGCAGGUUGCAGAGUGGCAGAUGCCAACACCUUAGUGUUGCAGGCCUCUUGGGUCACCCAUGAGGCCUGUGUACAGAGGUGCUGCCCACCACUUCUGCUCAAAGCCUGUGGAGUGUUGGCCUCGAGUCAGACGUGGACGCUCUUGUGCAUUUCCUGCUGUGGAGCCCUGUCCUGUGUCCCCAGGUUUGGGGACAGCGCUGGAGUGCAGUUCUAUAGCUGGCAGCAGUGCAGCCCAGGAAGAGGCAAAGGGCUGCAAGCUGCCGUUGAUUCUGUUUGACAAUCUCUGUGACUGGAACGUUUGCUACAGAAGAAACAAGCUGCUUCCCUCCUGUAUCAGAGGCCUUCUCAAGAGAACUGAUGUAUCUGGCAAUUUUUUUCUAGGACAAGCAUGCAGCAUUGGGUGGUGGUAUUUAACCUACCCAACAAACAAGAGCAUCUGUGUCUUAGGAUAAAUGUAUACUUGUAGAUGUUACUAUUGAAUGGCAUUAUGGGGCCCGGGAUGUAGCUCAGUGGCAUAGUGCCUGCCUGGCAAGCAUGAGGCCCUGAAUUCAAUU